Molecule: long non-coding RNA, 413 nt
Organism: Bubalus bubalis (water buffalo)
Lineage: Eukaryota; Metazoa; Chordata; Mammalia; Artiodactyla; Bovidae
Exons: 3
Source: RefSeq, a predicted model, not a curated record
CAGGCAGCAGAGAGCACCCUUGGGCGCAGGCCCCAGGCUGCGGCCUCUCCAUCAGCCCGCCUCCCUCUCCGCAGCUGGGCAGGAGGGCCGGCUUCUACCAGAAGUCUCGUACCCGGGGGCCCCAUACUACCUCUCAGUCUGGACAAAGGGCACCAAACCUACUCCAAAAUGGAAAUGUUUUCUCUCCUACCAAUUUAGAAGACCUCUGAGCAUUUUACAGACUCCUAUCCUGAACUACUUGGGGCCAAGUACCAGUGUUUGGGUUUCAUUGCAUCUGGCUGGCUGCUUGUGAAUGGUGUACCAACUGCUGUAAGACUGGCUUCCUUCCCCAGCCCUGCUCAAUGGCCAAGAGAACUUUACCAACGUAUGGGCACCUAAUGUUGACACUGAUUUGCAUAAUGGUGCAAUAAAAG